UCUCAGUUAACCAUCAGCAGACAAUCUGGAAAUUAAUCCUCAAAAAGGGAGCGGCGACAAAUGGGUUUUAUAAUGAGGACUUGAAGCCAGGCAGAGCAGAGGGCAGGCACGGCAGAGGUAAAGCAAAGGACCGCAAGUUUUACAGCAGGUGCUGUCCUUGCUUCCAUCCACUGAACCAGGAGAGGAGGCCGUGGUACAGCCAGCAAGCCCAACUAUGUCAGCAUCCCUGAGAAACUGUCUAAGGAGAUCUCAGAAGAAAGGGAUUGGCAACUCGAAGACUCUAGAGUCUGUCCCAUCUAUGAACUAUGAAAGGUAGAGAGAAGACAAUUUUUUCCUCCCCUACAGAUACAAUACUGUCCGCUUCCAAGGGGGACUUAUUGGCAUUAUUGUCAGUUACCUACAAGAGAGUUUUGAAAGAGCUCAUUAAAGACAAUGAAAAGGACAGACCCCAGUGGUACCACUUCCAAGCUGUGCAGUGCUGGACAAUAUAGUAAACUGUGAUCUGGGCAAUAUGAAUAGAAACUGUGCUGAUAAAUUUGUGAAGAUUCAAUCAGUGAAUGCCUGUGAAAUGCUCAGCACCAGGUAGGUCUGGAGUUCAGUGCAUGCUUGCUUGGUAGUGGUUGCUGAUGUUCCACUCUACUGUCACCAUGCUGGGUAUUUUCCAUCAUCUCACUCUAUUCUCUGCCAUUCUCCACCAUGCUCUGUGGCUCAGGAGGCACCUUUCCUGCGGUUUCUGGUUGGGUUUUACCAGUUCAUUCUCCCCCUCUGCAAUUGCCUGGGACUGGUGGCAUCCCUCAAAGGUCACAGCUCCUCCUGGGAAGCCCAUGCCACCUCCAGGUCCCUAUAACUAUCCUUUUCUGUCCCUUGAAGGCCUCGGGGUGAUAAUAGCUCUCUAUUACGAGCCCUGGGUUUUUGCAUCUCCACUAUGGUGUCCCAUACCCUGCCCACCUUUACUAAACACACCUCCAAUUACCCACACUGAGAGCACCAUCUAUGUCCUGGCAGGACCUUGACUGGGGCAGCCACCAGCUUUUUUUUUUUUUUGAGAUGGGGUCUAGCUCUGUGGCCCAGGCUGGAGUGCAGUGGUGUGAUCUUGGCUCACUGCAAACUUUGCCUCCUGGGUUCAAGUGAUUCUCCUGCCUCAGCCUCCCAAGAAGCUAGUCAGCAGCAUUUUGAACACUGCACUGUGUCCAUUUCUGUUCCUUAAGUGAGUGAUGCCGAUACUCCUCUUGAGUCUCAUGAAAUCCGAAAGCUGGAUCCUUUGCUCCUGUUUUAUCUUAGAUGUAACUUCUCCGCAAUGCUUGCAACACAGGUAGGGAAUGCCACCAAAGUCCCACACCAGAAGGGAGCAUUCCUUUUUGUGACUGAUCCCAAACACACAUACGAGAAAAAGAAGAGUGAAGAGAUGAAGGGUCCAUACAAAGAUGAGUUUAUGUAAACAGACUUUACUAAAAUAAUCCUUAUCUUCCAUUAGUUCCCCCAUAUGCAUUCUAGUUACUGCCCCAUAAUUUGUGAUCCCUGGAAACCAAAUCCUCUUGUCUUUGUUAAAAGGGUAUAUAGGCCCUCAAGUCUAACUGGUUGAGUUUCAUUUCUUUUCUGUAAACUCACAUGCAGAUAAAUAUGAGUAAAAUUGUGUGCUUUUUCUUCUGUCAAUUUGUCUUUUUGUCAUUUUAAUUCACAGGCCCCCAGUUAUAUCACCUAAGAGGGUAGGGGAAAAGAUUUUCCUCUCCAAUACCAGUGUCCCUGCUUCAUCUCAAAGAAAAGAUGAUGGGCUUUA
Molecule: long non-coding RNA, 1777 nt
Organism: Callithrix jacchus (white-tufted-ear marmoset)
Lineage: Eukaryota; Metazoa; Chordata; Mammalia; Primates; Cebidae
Source: RefSeq, a predicted model, not a curated record